UCAGUUGAUGGUAGUUUUUUGAGUUGUCUAAGCUGUCUGGGCAGAUGUGUGUUGGCAUUUAGAGAAGUGGAGGUGUCUGUUUGAGGUAAGAGCACUGGGACCAGUCAAAGUUCAGCAGCACACAUAGUAGAAAGUAUGCUUGUAUGCAGGUGCCUUGUGUUUUUCUGGAAUUCCUGACUCUAUUGAAGAUGGAACCUUGUUUUCUUCCCUGGUUUUGCUGUAUACUGUGUGAGCUGCUGAUAUUCUCUCUCUUAACAGGACUGAUGGUGAGAUCAUCUAGCAGGGCUUAGGUCUUCCCCACAGCUGACGGGAGGUACAACAGAGUCACAAGAGACGCGGCGUAAACAGUCUGGGCCUCCGCAUCUCAGUAUGCGGGGCUCAAUGUCAGAUGAGUCUCAUCUCGUAAGGCAUUAGCAGUGAUCCAGGAUGUGUCGGCAUAUCCGCUGUCGAGCGGUCUGUUUUUGGGGAACCCUUUUCUGGGACUACUUCUCAUUCAAAGAACUUGCAUUUUUAUUAACUUCUCAUCAGAGUGGAUCUUCAGCGAUGAUGUACUUGGCAGUAGAAGUCACCAGCAGCAAGAUUUUUCACUCUUUAAAAAAAAAAAAAAAAGAGAAAAUUUACUUCCUUCCAGAGACCCAAGCACAACAUGUCUUCCAAAAGUCAAUGGCAUUGCUGGUCUUUGGGUUCUCAGUUGUAACAGUUGAGAUAUCAUAAAAACAUGUUCCUUUCCAUGCUUCAGUACAGCCAAGAGCAUUAAAAUCUGCCAGUCCUUUUUGGUAGCCUUAUGUAUUGCAGCACUGGGGAUUUGAUUUUUUUUUUUCUUUUUCAGAAGAUUCCUUAUAUAGUUUUACUUCUAUCUCGCUGGUUUUUCUAUCGUAAAUGAAAUGUUAAAAAAACUUAAAUUGUAUAACCUGCAAAUUGACUUGCAUUGUUUAAACUGUAACUGCCAAAUAGCUAUAGCAUAUAACUUAUUAGGUGUGCUUAAGCAGUUAGGUAUUUUGUCUAAAUCUUGAAAAAGACAGGCAACUGAAUGUUAUGGGGGUUUUUCCUGAUAUUUUGAUGGAGUGCUCUGAAGUCCUUUAUUUCUGUCUCGCUUUCAAUGGUGCAUUUCCCUGGCAGUUCAGUAGCAUCUCUCUUGGGCA
Molecule: long non-coding RNA, 1142 nt
Organism: Gymnogyps californianus (California condor)
Lineage: Eukaryota; Metazoa; Chordata; Aves; Accipitriformes; Cathartidae
Exons: 4
Source: RefSeq, a predicted model, not a curated record